Molecule: small RNA, 630 nt
Filed under: Oryza sativa Japonica Group (Japanese rice)
Lineage: Eukaryota; Viridiplantae; Streptophyta; Magnoliopsida; Poales; Poaceae
Description: sRNA Os11g0441550
Source: RNAcentral
AUCCUAAUCUUUAUCCAAAGCGGCCACGCGACGUAGAUUCCAGGAGCGAAGCUGCGCUGCUUCCGCGAAGCCGCCGCCGACCGCCAUCUUGCCGGAUCCUUGCGAAGCCGCCGCCGCCCGCCGUCUUUUGUAAUCCCUGCGAAGCUGUGCUACUCUCGCUGGCGUGCGAAGCCACCGCCGUUUUGCCGGAUCCCUGCGAAGCUGUGUUGCUCCCGCCGGCGGGUGAAGCUGUCGCCGUCUUGCCGGAUCCCAGCAUAGCAGCACCGCCCAUGCUAGAUGCUGCCCAGGCUGCCUUUCGUGCAAAAUAGUAAGCAGAUCGAUUUGCAGGUUGCCAGAUGCAUUUGCACAUCUGGGCAGAAUCAUCUGAAGGUUGUGCUCCUGAUGCACGGAUUUGGGAUCUAUUUGACUCUUCGAUUGCGUUCUCCUCUCUCUUUUUUUCCCUGCUUUUUUUUCUAGAUUUUUAUCCUCGUUAUGUAUGCAAGAUUUGUGCUUGUACAUGGGAAGUUGGGUUCAUAAAUGGAUCUUGGCAGGAGGUUUAGAUGCAAUUUGUGGCAAGAUUUGUGACGGCCAUUAAUAAUUGAUUUAGCUGUAUAAUAAUUAAAGGCGUAAUUGCAUAUUUGUUUCUCAGGC